UCCCAUAUGGUCUAGCGGUCAGGAUUCCUGGUUUUCACCCAGGCAGCCUGGGUUCAAUACCCGGUAUGGGAA
RNAcentral lists this transfer RNA (72 nucleotides) under Perca fluviatilis (European perch). It matches the Rfam family "tRNA". From Rfam's summary of the family: Transfer RNA (tRNA) molecules are approximately 80 nucleotides in length. Their secondary structure includes four short double-helical elements and three loops (D, anti-codon, and T loops). The record is from Rfam by way of RNAcentral. Lineage: Eukaryota; Metazoa; Chordata; Actinopteri; Perciformes; Percidae.